CCGACCUUAGCUCAGUUGGAAGAGCGCGAGACUGUAAUGGAUAAAUUCAUCUUGAGGUCGCCUGUUCGAGCCAGGCAGGUCGGA
This is a non-coding RNA of Paxillus rubicundulus Ve08.2h10, 84 nucleotides long. NCBI's taxonomy places the organism in Eukaryota, Fungi, Basidiomycota, Agaricomycetes, Boletales, Paxillaceae. The record is from Rfam.